Long non-coding RNA from Salarias fasciatus (jewelled blenny), 127 nucleotides. RefSeq lists it as uncharacterized. The record is from RefSeq and is a predicted model, not a curated record. NCBI's taxonomy places the organism in Eukaryota, Metazoa, Chordata, Actinopteri, Blenniiformes, Blenniidae. The transcript is spliced from 3 exons.
GUGCAUCCACCCAGGCUUCCUGAUGUUCCCUUUCAGUUUCCCAUCCAGGUACUGACAAGGCCCUACCCCACUGAGCUUCCAAGAUCUGAUGGGAUCAGACAUCCUCAAGACAGUAUGGCUUUAUAGG